This 428-nucleotide ribosomal RNA is filed under the name uncultured bacterium. RNAcentral describes it as "partial 16S ribosomal RNA". It matches the Rfam family "Bacterial small subunit ribosomal RNA", at positions 354 to 796 of the family's 1533-position model. The record is from RNAcentral.
GUGGGGAAUUUUGGACAAUGGGCGCAAGCCUGAUCCAGCAAUGCCGCGUGCAGGAAGAAGGCCUUCGGGUUGUAAACCUCUGUCCUUGGUGACGAAAAAAAUGACGGUAGCCAAGGAGGAAGCCCCGGCUAACUACGUGCCAGCAGCCGCGGUAAUACGUAGGGGGCGAGCGUUGUCCGGAAUUACUGGGCGUAAAGGGUGCGUAGGUGGCCUUUUAAGUUGGAUGUGAAAUACCCGGGCUUAACUUGGGGGGUGCAUCUAAUACUGGAGGGCUAGAGUGCAGGAGAGGGAAGCGGAAUUCCUAGUGUAGCGGUGAAAUGCGUAGAUAUUAGGAGGAACACCAGUGGCGAAGGCGGCUUUCUGGACUGUAACUGACACUGAGGCACGAAAGCGUGGGGAGCAAACAGGAUUAGAAACCCGGGUAGUCC